AUGACACUCGAAGAAGAGCUCUCCAAGCUGGCUGCCGAUGUAGCGGCCAUCUCGCCGGCACCGGUGAGGAAGGCCGUGGAUGCACUGGCGCGCAGCAGCCCCGCCCGCGCCGCCGCCGAUGCCCUAGUCUACCUCUCCGUGGGCACGACCUGCGCGGUCUUCGCGGCCGCCUUCUUCACCAUCUUCGCGGACCUGGCCUGCGCCCGCGGCUGGGGCUGCACCCCGGCCUAUGUCCUGUCCGAGAUAGCGGACUAUCUAUCCACACCUGUCCUGCUUCUCCUGCCGCCGGCGCUCGUGCUCUUCUUCCUCCGCGCCGCCGGCUGCAGGACCAAGGCGGCGGACGAGGAGAGCCUCAUCGUGAAGAAUGACGAGGGGGAAACCCUUCUGUCGCCGUCGCCGCUGGCCUUGGCAAUUCUGUGGCUUUUCAUUGGGGCGGCGUCGAUGGGAGCCAUCUCCUUCCUUCUUUUCAAGUGUGGAUAUACAGAGAUCUCCGACCUUCUCGGCUACGCGGCUCUCUUGUGCACGUUCAUGUGGGAAGCCCUCGUCUAUGUCCGCGCUGCAGUGGCGCUGUGGAGGAUGAAUCCCGGGCCAAGCAACAUGGUGCCAUCGACUGACUAA
This 618-nucleotide ribosomal RNA is filed under the name Triticum aestivum (bread wheat). RNAcentral's name for it is "partial small subunit ribosomal RNA". Lineage: Eukaryota; Viridiplantae; Streptophyta; Magnoliopsida; Poales; Poaceae. The record is from RNAcentral.